GUAGUGGUGAUUCGUGGUAGAAUUCUCUCCUUCCACGUGGGAGACCCGGGUUUGAUUCCCGGCCUGUGUA
RNAcentral lists this transfer RNA (70 nucleotides) under Loxodonta africana (African savanna elephant). It matches the Rfam family "tRNA". Rfam says of the family: Transfer RNA (tRNA) molecules are approximately 80 nucleotides in length. Lineage: Eukaryota; Metazoa; Chordata; Mammalia; Proboscidea; Elephantidae. The record is from Rfam by way of RNAcentral.